This 206-nucleotide non-coding RNA is filed under the name Sus scrofa (pig). Its description in RNAcentral is "Connexin-43 internal ribosome entry site (IRES)". It matches the Rfam family "Connexin-43 internal ribosome entry site (IRES)". From Rfam's summary of the family: This family represents the connexin-43 internal ribosome entry site (IRES) which allows cap independent translation during conditions such as heat shock and stress. The record is from Rfam by way of RNAcentral. Lineage: Eukaryota; Metazoa; Chordata; Mammalia; Artiodactyla; Suidae.
AGCUUUUUAUGAAGUAUUAGCAAUUUUCUUUGCUGUGGAGGUGGUGAGGAGUGAGGAAAGUACCAUACUGCAGCAGACUUUUAAACUUUAAAUAGACAGGUCUGAGUGCCUGAACUUCCUUUUUCAUUUUACAUUAUCCUCUAAGACUAUCAAUCGCUUGGCAUGCCUACUUCACUUCUUUUAAGAGAAAAAAUGAGUCAAAUUUU